Molecule: non-coding RNA, 94 nt
Filed under: Chloropicon primus
Lineage: Eukaryota; Viridiplantae; Chlorophyta; Chloropicophyceae; Chloropicales; Chloropicaceae
Source: RNAcentral
AAAGAACGAAUGAAUGAAUGAAAGAAAGAAAAGAAAAAGCUGACCUUUGAUUGUCUUUUGUUGUUGUUGCUUGCUUCUUUCUUCUCCUCUCUUU